Molecule: ribosomal RNA, 485 nt
Filed under: uncultured bacterium
Lineage: Bacteria
Description: bacterial SSU rRNA
Rfam family: Bacterial small subunit ribosomal RNA
Source: RNAcentral
AAUGAACGUUGGCGGCGUGGAUUAGGCAUGCAAGUCGAGCGAGAACCGUAGCAAUACGGGGACAGCGGCGAAAGGGAGAGGAAUACGCGGGUACCUACCCUCGGAUCUGGGAUAGCUACGGGAAACUGUAGGUAAUACCAGAUGAUGUCUUCGGACCAAAGGUGUGAUUCCGUCCGAGGAGGGGCCCACGUCCUAUUAGCUAGUUGGUGGGGUAAUGGCCUACCAAGGCAAUGAUGGGUACGGGGCGUGAGAGCGUGCCCCCGCUCACUGGGACUGAGACACUGCCCAGACACCUACGGGUGGCUGCAGUCGAGGAUCUUCGGCAAUGGGCGCAAGCCUGACCGAGCGACGCCGCGUGCGGGAUGAAGGCCUUCGGGUUGUAAACCGCCGUCGGAGGGGAGGAAAUGCUUAGGGGUUCUCCCCUAGGUUUGACCUAUCCUCAGAGGAAGUACGGGCUAAGUUCGUGCCAGCAGCCGCCGUAAGAC